GGAAUAUUGGACAAUGGGCGGAAGCCUGAUCCAGCAACGCCGCGUGAGGGAUGACUGCCUUCGGGUUGUAAACCUCUUUCAGCACAGACGAAGCGAAAGUGACGGUAUGUGCAGAAGAAGCACCGGCCAACUACGUGCCAGCAGCCGCGGUAAUACGUAGGGUGCGAGCGUUGUCCGGAAUUAUUGGGCGUAAAGGGCUCGUAGGCGGUUUGUCGCGUCGGGAGUGAAAACACACAGCUUAACUGUGUGCUUGCUUCCGAUACGGGCAGACUAGAGGUAUGCAGGGGAGAACGGAAUUCCUGGUGUAGCGGUGAAAUGCGCAGAUAUCAGGAGGAACACCGGUGGCGAAGGCGGUUCUCUGGGCAUUACCUGACGCUGAGGAGCGAAAGUGUGGGGAGCGAACA
This 404-nucleotide ribosomal RNA is filed under the name uncultured Nocardioides sp. Its description in RNAcentral is "bacterial SSU rRNA". It matches the Rfam family "Bacterial small subunit ribosomal RNA", at positions 358 to 774 of the family's 1533-position model. The record is from RNAcentral. Lineage: Bacteria; Bacillati; Actinomycetota; Actinomycetes; Propionibacteriales; Nocardioidaceae.